This 28-nucleotide small RNA is filed under the name Bombyx mori (domestic silkworm). Its description in RNAcentral is "ovarian small RNA-26725". The record is from RNAcentral. Lineage: Eukaryota; Metazoa; Arthropoda; Insecta; Lepidoptera; Bombycidae.
UCCACUGCUGGACAUAGACCUCUCCAAU